This 301-nucleotide ribosomal RNA is filed under the name uncultured bacterium. Its description in RNAcentral is "partial 16S ribosomal RNA". It matches the Rfam family "Bacterial small subunit ribosomal RNA", at positions 509 to 807 of the family's 1533-position model. The record is from RNAcentral.
CAGUCGCCGCGGGAAUACAGAGGGUGCAAGCGUUAAUCGGAAUUACUGGGCGUAAAGCGCGCGUAGGUGGUUUGUUAAGUUGGAUGUGAAAUCCCCGGGCUCAACCUGGGAACUGCAUUCAAAACUGACUGACUAGAGAAUGGUAGAGGGUGGUGGAAUUUCCUGUGUAGCGGUGAAAUGCGUAGAUAUAGGAAGGAACACCAGUGGCGAAGGCGACCACCUGGACUAAUACUGACACUGAGGUGCGAAAGCGUGGGGAGCAAACAGGAUUAGAUACCCGUGUAGUCCCUGUCUCUUAUAC